AAGCGCACGCAGGCGGUCUGUCAAGUCGGAUGUGAAAUCCCCGGGCUCAACCUGGGAACUGCAUUCGAAACUGGCAGGCUGGAGUCUUGUAGAGGGGGGUAGAAUUCCAGGUGUAGCGGUGAAAUGCGUAGAGAUCUGGAGGAAUACCGGUGGCGAAGGCGGCCCCCUGGACAAAGACUGACGGCUCAGGUGCGAAAGCGUGGGGAGCAAACAGGAUUAGAUACCCUGGUAGUCCACGCCGUAAACGAUGUCGAUUUGGAGGUUGUGCCCUUGAGGCGUGGCUUCCGGAGCUAACGCGUUAAAUCGACCGCCUGGGGAGUACGGCCGCAAGGUUAAAACUCAAAUGAAUUGACGGGGGCCCGCACAAGCGGUGGAGCAUGUGGUUUAAUUCGAUGCAACGCGAAGAACCUUACCUGGUCUUGACAUCCACAGAACUUUCCAGAGAUGGAUUGGUGCCUUCGGGGAACUGUGAGACAGGUGCUGCAUGGCUGUCGUCAGCUCGUGUUGUGAAAUGUUGGGUUAAGUCCCGCAACGAGCGCAACCCUUAUCCUUUGUUGCCAGCGGUUAGGCCGGGAACUCAAAGGAGACUGCCAGUGAUAAACUGGAGGAAGGUGGGGAUGACGUCAAGUCAUCAUGGCCCUUACGACCAGGGCUACACACGUGCUACAAUGGCGCAUACAAAGAGAAGCGACCUCGCGAGAGCAAGCGGACCUCAUAAAGUGCGUCGUAGUCCGGAUUGGAGUCUGCAACUCGACUCCAUGAAGUCGGAAUCGCUAGUAAUCGUAGAUCAGAAUGCUACGGUGAAUACGUUCCCGGGCCUUGUACACACCGCCCGUCACACCAUGGGAGUGGGUUGCAAAAGAAGUAGGUAGCUUAACCUUCGGGAGGGCGCUUACCACUUUGUGAUUCAUGACUGGGGUGAAGUCGUAACAAGGUAACCGUAGGGGAACCUGCGGUUGGAUCACCUCCUUA
This 972-nucleotide non-coding RNA is filed under the name Microbacterium sp. SUBG005. RNAcentral's name for it is "bacterial SSU rRNA". It matches the Rfam family "Bacterial small subunit ribosomal RNA", at positions 563 to 1533 of the family's 1533-position model. Lineage: Bacteria; Bacillati; Actinomycetota; Actinomycetes; Micrococcales; Microbacteriaceae. The record is from RNAcentral.